AGUGAACGCUGGCGGCAGGCUUAACACAUGCAAGUCGAACGGUAACAGAGCUACAGGUGCUGCCGAGUGGCGAAGGGUGGCGGAAGGCAGCGGAACGUACCCGGAUGUAGUGGAUAACGCAGGGAAAGGUGGGGUAAUACAGCAUGUGAUCUGAUGAGAAAAGCGGGUGACAGAGCGGGAAUGUUUGACCUCGCGCGUUUGGAGCGGCCGAUGUCGGAUUAGCUAGUUGGCGGGGUAAAGGCCCACCAAGGCGACGAUCCGUAGCUGGUCUGAGAGGACGAUCAGCCACACUGGGACUGAGACACGGUCCAGACUCCUACGGGAGGCAGCAGUGGGGAAUUUUGGACAAUGGGCGCAAGCCUGAUCCAGCCAUGCCGCGUGCGUGAAGAAGGCCUUCGGGUUGUAAACCGCUUUUGUUAGGAAAGAAAAGCUGUAGGUUAAUACCGCGCGGUUCUGACGGUACCCGAAGAAUAAGCACCGGCUAACUUCGUG
This 492-nucleotide ribosomal RNA is filed under the name uncultured bacterium. RNAcentral's name for it is "partial 16S ribosomal RNA". It matches the Rfam family "Bacterial small subunit ribosomal RNA", at positions 30 to 507 of the family's 1533-position model. The record is from RNAcentral.